This 512-nucleotide ribosomal RNA is filed under the name uncultured bacterium. Its description in RNAcentral is "bacterial SSU rRNA". It matches the Rfam family "Bacterial small subunit ribosomal RNA", at positions 29 to 519 of the family's 1533-position model. The record is from RNAcentral.
AACGAACGCUGGCGGCGUGCCUAACACAUGCAAGUCGAACGAGAAGACGGGCUUCGGCCCGUUGGUAAAGUGGCAGACGGGUGAGUAACACGUGGGUAACCUGCCCGAAGGUGGGGGAUAACCCUCCGAAAGGAGGACUAAUACCGCAUGACAUCGCGAGAGCCUCGGCUCUUGCGAUCAAAGCUAGCCUCUACAUGAAAGCUAGUGCCAUCGGAGGGCCCNCGGCCCAUUAGCAGUUGGUGAGGUAACGGCCCACCAAGGCUACGAUGGGUAGCCGGCCUGAGAGGGCGAUCGGCCACACUGGAACUGAGACACGGUCCAGACUCCUACGGGAGGCAGCAGUGAGGAAUUUUGCGCAAUGGGGGAAACCCUGACGCAGCGACGCCGCGUGAGGGAGGAAAUCCUUCGGGAUGUAAACCUCACAAGCAAGGGAAGAGAGCUCAGGGCCGAAUAAGCUUUGAGUCCGACGGUACCUUGCGUAAGCCACGGCUAACUACGUGCCAGCAGCCGCC